Molecule: long non-coding RNA, 109 nt
Organism: Ornithodoros turicata
Lineage: Eukaryota; Metazoa; Arthropoda; Arachnida; Ixodida; Argasidae
Exons: 2
Source: RefSeq, a predicted model, not a curated record
AUAGGAUGUUGCUGCCCAGGGAGUCCUGGCCGAAGAGGUUUACUCAUUCCAGAAGCAAGAAUUGUACCAUUGUAAGGCGAAUGGAAAUAAACUGACAUCGACUGAGAUA